This 253-nucleotide ribosomal RNA is filed under the name uncultured bacterium. RNAcentral's name for it is "partial 16S ribosomal RNA". It matches the Rfam family "Bacterial small subunit ribosomal RNA", at positions 524 to 776 of the family's 1533-position model. The record is from RNAcentral.
UACGAAGGGUGCAAGCGUUACUCGGAAUUACUGGGCGUAAAGCGUGCGCAGGCGGUUGUGCAAGACAGAUGUGAAAUCCCCGGGCUCAACCUGGGAACUGCAUUUGUGACUGCACGGCUGGAGUGCGGCAGAGGGGGAUGGAAUUCCGCGUGUAGCAGUGAAAUGCGUAGAUAUGCGGAGGAACACCGAUGGCGAAGGCAAUCCCCUGGGCCUGCACUGACGCUCAUGCACGAAAGCGUGGGGAGCAAACAGG